This 74-nucleotide transfer RNA is filed under the name Thermoplasmata archaeon. Its description in RNAcentral is "tRNA-Ala". It matches the Rfam family "tRNA". From Rfam's summary of the family: Transfer RNA (tRNA) molecules are approximately 80 nucleotides in length. Their secondary structure includes four short double-helical elements and three loops (D, anti-codon, and T loops). The record is from RNAcentral. Lineage: Archaea; Methanobacteriati; Thermoplasmatota; Thermoplasmata. RNAcentral also lists the same sequence under 3 other names.
GGGCCGGUAGAUCAGCCCGGCAGAUCGCCUCGCUUGCAACGAGGAGGCCGCGGGUUCAAAUCCCGCCCGGUCCA